CCCUUAGACGUUCUGGGCCGCACGCGCGCUACACUGACGAAGGCAACGAGCUUUCCUUUACCGAAAGGUACGGGUAAUCUUUUGAAACUUCGUCGUGCUGGGGAUAGAUCCUUGCAAUUUUUGAUCUUAAACGAGGAAUGCCUAGUAAGCGCAAGUCAUCAACUUGCGUUGAUUACGUCCCUGCCCUUUGUACACACCGCCCGUCGCUACUACCGAUUGAAUGGUUUAGUGAGGCCUUCGGAUCUGCGACUCGUUUGUGGAGAAGUUGGACAAACUCAGUCAUUUAGAGGAAGUAAAAGUCGUAACA
RNAcentral lists this ribosomal RNA (307 nucleotides) under uncultured eukaryote. Its description in RNAcentral is "partial 18S ribosomal RNA". It matches the Rfam family "Eukaryotic small subunit ribosomal RNA", at positions 1470 to 1796 of the family's 1831-position model. The record is from RNAcentral.